AUUUUGGCAAACGUAAUACUUUUUUGUUUACUUCAUGCAGUUCAAUCUGAUAAAUUUAAUAUAAAAGAUUUCUUGUUAACGUGACUAUAUUAUAGUAUACUAAUGGGCAAGGGAAAGGGCGGAAAAGGAGGUGGUGCUGCCCCAGCAGCUGCAGCUGAUAAAAAGGCCGCCGGUGCCAAAGGCGCAGACUCAAAAACAGCCACCAAAGAGACGGGGGGAGCUAAAGGAGGCAAAAAAGGAGGGAAGAAGUGAAUUAAGGGACCAUUUUAAUUAAAUAUAAGAGAUUUUUGUUAUUAUAUAAAUAAAUUAUUUUUUGAAAGUUU
Anthonomus grandis grandis is the source of this 323-nucleotide long non-coding RNA. RefSeq lists it as uncharacterized. The transcript is spliced from 3 exons. The record is from RefSeq and is a predicted model, not a curated record. Lineage: Eukaryota; Metazoa; Arthropoda; Insecta; Coleoptera; Curculionidae.